AGCCUGUCCCAGUUCGGACUGGAGUCUGCAACCCGACUCUACGAAGUUGGAUUCGCUAGUAAUCGCGCAUCAGCCAUGGCGCGGUGAAUACGUUCCCGGGCCUUGUACACACCGCCCGUCGAGCCAUGGGAGCCGGGGGCGCCUGAAGUCCGGGACCGCGAGGACCGGCCUAGGGCGAAACUGGUAACUGGGGCUAAGUCGUAACAAGGUAAC
Molecule: ribosomal RNA, 213 nt
Filed under: uncultured bacterium
Lineage: Bacteria
Description: partial 16S ribosomal RNA
Rfam family: Bacterial small subunit ribosomal RNA
Source: RNAcentral